This 1605-nucleotide long non-coding RNA is filed under the name Homo sapiens (human). RNAcentral describes it as "HSALNT0390173". The record is from RNAcentral. Lineage: Eukaryota; Metazoa; Chordata; Mammalia; Primates; Hominidae.
AGAAGAGAGAAAGCAGAUUGUCCUGAGCCCCAAGUGUCUGUGAUUCUCUUAGCUAAGUAAGGAAUCAGUGCCAGAGACAGAGGUUGCUGGAGCUGAGAGGAGACGUAGUCAAGAAGAUUGGAGAAGGCUCUGCGGAGAAGGUGAACUUGAGCUAAGACUUGAAGGGAGGGCAGGCUUGAAGGGAUGAAACAGCCUCCUCUGUGCUAAAGAGAGGAGUGACAGGGCCAUCAUCAGGCAAAGGGGACAUUACCAGGCAAAGGGACACCAUUGGUCAAAGGCGAUGGUGGAGACAAGACAUUCUGGAAGAGCCCGGAUCAGAGAGAUUUGGGGCCAGGAGCCGGCAUCAGGGGACCGGCUCCCUAAGGAACCAUGGCACCACUGGCUCUCAGCUGGAAAUAAGCAGCAGAUGAAGCACAUGCAUCCUGAGUUUUGGCUCUGGUGAUGGUGGUGGAGCUGUUAAUUCUUGGAGUCCAAAUUCCUGCACCACCUCUGAGUUCCGAGGGGGUGGGGAAGAGCAAGUGAUGGCUGGACAGCAAAGAGGAGUGGAGGCCGGGAGAAUGGGCAGCUAGCCCAGCGCUCUCCAAUAUCUGGGAGUCGACCGCACUCCUGCACUCCCUGUCAUCCCUGCUAAUGGUGAGGAACUGAGCAAAAGAGCCUCCAGAGUGACAGGUGACUUAAAGCGCACGUGGCUCUACAUUUACAAUUGAAGUGGGCUUUGGAGAUUGCAGAUUCUGAAUACCUGCUGGGGUGGUACAGAGGCUGUGUUCUGGUUUUGCCAUCUUGGACAGGGGGUUGGGAGUCUGGGGGGCUGCCUUCUCUCCUCUUCGUGCAGCUCUGCUGGGGCCUGUCUCACACUUGUGAGCAGAGUUAUGGCUGGAUUCCAGGGGAGACAGAGCUUGGUUGUGAAAUGUAAGGUUGUGAAAUGAAGGGCUUGUGAAAUGAACAAAGAAUGUAUUUAAGGGUCUUUCAUUUUAAAUCGAACACUUACAUAGCACUUACUACUUGCAAAGCUCCACUCUAAGCACUUUACCCAUCUUAAUUCAUUUAAUUCUCUUCUCAACCCUAAAAAGCAGGUAUUACCAUUGCUCCAAUCUUACAGAUGAGGAAACUCAGGCAUGGAGAGGUUGAGCGACUUGCCCAAAUUCAUGCAGUUAGGACCUGGCAGAGCUGCGCUUUGAACCCAGGCUGCCUGGCUCUAGAGUGUGUGCACGAAACUUCACUGCCAUAUGAACAAAACUGCAGGACAUAUGUUCUCAAAGCAAAUAAGCCUCCCAGAGAGGCUUUUCCUGAUGGCUUCAAGGACCUGCCCUAGCCUGGUCUGACUUCCCAGAGGGGAUCCAGUCCCAACAUUGGCCCUAUCUUUAGACCACAUUUCCAUCCCAUUCUCAGUGAAAACCCUGAGUCAUGACAGAAGACAACCAAUGCUGGAGAGAGGAGGUUUCAGGAGGACAACAGUCAGAAUACCCCCAAGACGUCCUUCUUUCCCUAAGGUCUCAAAAUCCUUGCCUCAAGAAGUUAUUCCUGAAGUCUAGCUUGAAUUCCUCCAGAUAGAGUUUAAACCAGACAAACAGCCUACGAACAUGUUACAAUAUUCAAAAACUUCUA